This 1684-nucleotide long non-coding RNA is filed under the name Cricetulus griseus (Chinese hamster). RNAcentral describes it as "lncRNA (ENSCGRG00015041628.1)". Lineage: Eukaryota; Metazoa; Chordata; Mammalia; Rodentia; Cricetidae. The record is from RNAcentral.
AGCGGGCUACGUUGGUGCUGGAGAGGCACCACACUCCUGCAUGCACGCCCACCCCCAAUCCUUCCCCCCAACACGGGGGGUGGUGGGGGGCAAAAACAACCCGGGGCGCUGACGUCACCCAGGCGGAGGCGCCUACCGCUGUACCCUCACUGUAUGCAGUUGUUGGAGAUGCUCGGUUUAGCAGAGACAUUGAGAGAGAGAGAGAGAGAUGGAGCCCUUGGCCUUCUGUCACAAGAGCUGGCAAAUGGCCCGCCCGGCUAGCCCUGCCCUAGCCAGUCCCAGAGCCACAGAUCUGGGAUCUGCCAGCCGUGCUAUUUGCCUCACCGAGUGGGUCUACUCAUAGUUUUCCACGAGACUUGACAAGGAAGGAACAAACCCCACAACUCUAAAGGUACAUAAACUACAGGCUGAGCCCGGUGUGCAUACUUGUAACCUCAACUGUUCCGGUGGCCGAACCAGGAGAAUCACAAGUGUGAGACUGGCCUGCUUAGACUACAGAGUGACUUCAAGGCUAAAUUGAGCAACUUAAUGAGAUUGGCUCUCAAAAGAGUGAAAAAGAGCUGGGCAUGCAGCUUAGAAUCAAAGUAUUUCUCCAGCGUGUGUGAGCCUGAGGUUCAAUCCCCAGGACUGGGAAACAAAAACAAAGAAAUAAGAAAAGCUAACUGACUUCAUUUUCAUUUUGAGAGCAUCACUGCCCAUCACAGGAAAACAGUUCAUACAUCUGAAGAUGCCAAGAGGAACAAGUGAGUGGCAGUCUCCACAUCUCAGGGACAAACUUCUGGUUUGGGGAAUAGUUGUGCAUCGAGUGGGACUUCUGCUCCAGAUUUCCACAGGGAUAUCUCCUAUGUAUCCACUUUUUUUGGCUGGCGGGGGGCACUUCUGAGACAGGGUUUCUCUGUGGCUUUGGAGCCUGUUCUAGAACUAGCUCUUGUAGACCAGGCUGGUCUCGAACUCACAGAGAUCUGCCUGCCUCUGCCUCCCCAGUGCUGGGAUUAAAGGCAUUCACCACCACUGCCCAGCCAUAUAUCCACUUUUCAUUUGAAGAUUCCUGCAUGUUGGCAGACUAGUGUUACAGUAAGUCUUUACUCCAUCCGCCCCGCCUCCAUGUGGGCACCCAGAAUAACACACAGAGUCCUAUAUUAGUUUACAAUGCUGCUGGCCAAUUGACUAGGAUUUCUUAUAUGCUAGCUCAGUCUUAAUUAUCAGAAAUCUAUAUAUUUUAUAAGACUUAUCUUAUCGAGGAUGUCUUCUGCUGGCGUCCUCUUCCAGGGAUCACACGGAGGCUCCGUAGAGCAGAGAGCAGGAGGAAGAGGAAGAGCAAGAGAAUGAUUUCCUUCUUGUCCAUGCUUAUAUUCUGAGUCUGCCUGCUAUGUCACUUCCUGCCUGGAUCUCUACUACAUUUCCUAGAAUCCUCCUUGACUCCUAGUUCCACCUGUCUUGCUUUCCCAUUGGCCAACAGUACUUUAUUGACCAACCAAUAAGACAAACUUAUACACAGAAGGACGUGCCCCAUCCGACUAGUGCUUAGAAGAAUUGAUUAAGCUUCUAUGCUUUAUGUCACAUAAAUGUCACUAAAACAGGAACCGUGUCUUCUGGAGUUUAUUGUCAUGAUAUUGACCUAGGGAGAUUUCAUGGAAUUGCAUAUUUCUGUAUGCUCUUGAAAUUUGGUGCACGGUCACCUGUG